GACGAACGCUGGCGGCGUGCUUAACACAUGCAAGUCGAACGGUAAGGCCCUGCUUUUUUGGGGUGCUCGAGUGGCGAACGGGUGUGUAACACGUGAGUACCCUGCCCUUGACUGUGGUAUACCUUCAGGACACUGUGUCUAAUACCGUAUAGGAGCUCCUGCUGCAUUGUGUGUUUUGGAAAUUUUUGGCGGUUGGGUAGGCACUCGCGGCUUCUCGGCUUGUUGGUGGGGUAGUGUCUUACAAAGGCUUUCACGGAUAGCCGGCCUGAGAGGGUGACCGGCAACAUUGGGACUGGGAUAAGGCCCAAACUCCUAGGGGAGGCAGCAGUGGGGAAGAUUGCACAAUGGGCGGAAGCCGGAGGCAGCAACGCGGGGGGGGGGAUGACGGCCUUGGGGUUGUAAACCGCUUUAGCAGGGGACGAAGCGAGAGUGAGGGUAAUGGUAAAGAAGCACCGGCUAACUACGUG
RNAcentral lists this ribosomal RNA (467 nucleotides) under uncultured bacterium. Its description in RNAcentral is "partial 16S ribosomal RNA". It matches the Rfam family "Bacterial small subunit ribosomal RNA", at positions 28 to 507 of the family's 1533-position model. The record is from RNAcentral.